RNAcentral lists this ribosomal RNA (484 nucleotides) under uncultured bacterium. Its description in RNAcentral is "partial 16S ribosomal RNA". It matches the Rfam family "Bacterial small subunit ribosomal RNA", at positions 28 to 507 of the family's 1533-position model. The record is from RNAcentral.
AUUGAACGCUGGCGGCAUGCUUUACACAUGCAAGUCGAACGGCAGCGCGGGAUACGGUCUUGUGUCGCUUGGCGGUCGGGUACGUGAUGCAACUGUCCGUGCCACGUCGUGGGGGAUAGCGAGGAGUACGCCGGACUAAUGCCGCAUCCGCCUUGCGGGUGAAAACGGGGGACCGGAACGUCUCGCGCUCUUGCAGCGGCCGAUGUCGGAUUAGCUAGUUGGUGGGGUAAAGGCUUACCAAGGCGACGAUCCGUAGCUGGUCUGAGAGGACGACCAGCCACACUGGGACUGAGACACGGCCCAGACUCCUACGGGAGGCAGCAGUGGGGAAUUUUGGACAAUGGGGGCAACCCUGAUCCAGCCAUGCCGCGUGCGUGAAGAAGGCCUUCGGGUUGUAAAGCGCUUUUGUUCGGGAAGAAGUCCUCUGAGCUAAUACCCCGGGGGGAUGACGGUACCGGAAGAAUAAGCACCGGCUAACUACGUG